Molecule: ribosomal RNA, 508 nt
Filed under: uncultured bacterium
Lineage: Bacteria
Description: partial 16S ribosomal RNA
Rfam family: Bacterial small subunit ribosomal RNA
Source: RNAcentral
AUUGAACGCUGGCGGCAUGCCUUACACAUGCAAGUCGAACGGCAGCGGGGGAGAAGCUUGCUUUUCCUGCCGGCGAGUGGCGAACGGGUGAGUAAUACAUCGGAACGUGCCCUGUAGUGGGGGAUAACUAGUCGAAAGAUUAGCUAAUACCGCAUACGACCUGAGGGUGAAAGUGGGGGACCGCAAGGCCUCAUGCUAUAGGAGCGGCCGAUGUCUGAUUAGCUAGUUGGUGGGGUAAAGGCCCACCAAGGCGACGAUCAGUAGCUGGUCUGUGAGGACGAUCAGCCAAACUGGGACUGAGACACGGCCCAGACUCCUACGGGAGGCAGCAGUGGGGAAUUUUGGACAAUGGGCGAAAGCCUGAUCCAGCAAUGCCGCGUGUGUGAAGAAGGCCUUCGGGUUGUAAAGCACUUUUGUCCGGAAAGAAAUGGCUCUGGUUAAUACCUGGGGUCGAUGACGGUACCGGAAGAAUAAGGACCGGCUAACUACGUGCCAGCCGCCGCGGUAA